RNAcentral lists this ribosomal RNA (458 nucleotides) under uncultured bacterium. Its description in RNAcentral is "partial 16S ribosomal RNA". It matches the Rfam family "Bacterial small subunit ribosomal RNA", at positions 28 to 522 of the family's 1533-position model. The record is from RNAcentral.
GAUGAAUGCUGGCGGCGCGCCUAACACAUGCAAGUCGAGCGGAAAGGCCCUUCGGGGUACUCGAGCGGCGGACGGCUGAGUAACGCGUGGGAACAUGCCCCAAAGUGAGGAAUAACUGCCCGAAAGGGUAGCUAAUGCCGCAUAUGAUCUUCGGAUUAAAGGAUUUAUCCGCUUUGGGAGUGGCCCGCGUACGAUUAGGUAGUUGGUGAGGGAAAGGCUCACCAAGCCUACGAUCGUUAACUGGUCUGAGAGGAUGAUCAGUCAGACUGGAACUGAGACACGGUCCAGACUCCUACGGGAGGCAGCAGUGAGGAAUCUUCCACAAUGGGCGAAAGCCUGAUGGAGCGACGCCGCGUGCAGGAUGAAGGCCUUCGGGUUGUAAACUGCUUUUAUAAGUGAAGAAUAUGACGGUAACUUAUGAAUAAGCACCGGCUAACUACCUGCCAGCCGCCGCGGUA